RNAcentral lists this ribosomal RNA (681 nucleotides) under uncultured beta proteobacterium. Its description in RNAcentral is "bacterial SSU rRNA". It matches the Rfam family "Bacterial small subunit ribosomal RNA", at positions 796 to 1482 of the family's 1533-position model. Lineage: Bacteria; Pseudomonadati; Pseudomonadota; Betaproteobacteria. The record is from RNAcentral.
CACGCCCUAAACGAUGUCAACUAGGUGUUGGGUGAGCAAUCACUUGGUACCGCAGCUAACGCGUGAAGUUGACCGCCUGGGGAGUACGGUCGCAAGAUUAAAACUCAAAGGAAUUGACGGGGACCCGCACAAGCGGUGGAUGAUGUGGAUUAAUUCGAUGCAACGCGAACAACCUUACCUACCCUUGACAUGUCCGGAAGCCUGCUGAAAGGCGGGGGUGCCCGCAAGGGAACCGGAACACAGGUGCUGCAUGGCUGUCGUCAGCUCGUGUCGUGAGAUGUUGGGUUAAGUCCCGCAACGAGCGCAACCCUUGUCCUUAGUUGCUACGCAAGGGCACUCUAAGGAGACUGCCGGUGACAAACCGGAGGAAGGUGGGGAUGACGUCAAGUCCUCAUGGCCCUUAUGGGUAGGGCUUCACACGUCAUACAAUGGUCGGUACAGAGGGUUGCCAACCCGCGAGGGGGAGCCAAUCCCAGAAAGCCGAUCGUAGUCCGGAUUGCAGUCUGCAACUCGACUGCAUGAAGUCGGAAUCGCUAGUAAUCGCGGAUCAGCAUGUCGCGGUGAAUACGUUCCCGGGUCUUGUACACACCGCCCGUCACACCAUGGGAGUGGAAUCCGCCAGAAGUAGGUAGUCUAACCGCAAGGAGGACGCUUACCACGGUAGGUUUCAUGACUGGGGUG